Molecule: long non-coding RNA, 326 nt
Filed under: Zea mays
Lineage: Eukaryota; Viridiplantae; Streptophyta; Magnoliopsida; Poales; Poaceae
Description: long non-coding RNA (ZMAY_LNC000189)
Source: RNAcentral
GUUGGGCAAUGUUAGAACAACGCAGGCCUCCCAGACAGCGGUGAAGAGCCCUUCGUCUCUAAGCUUCUUCAGCCAAGUUACGAAGGUUCCAAGCCUGAAGACCUCCAAGAAACUGGAUGUCUCCGCCAUGGCUGUAUACAAGGUGAAGCUUGUCGGGCCUGAAGGUGAAGAGCACGAGUUUGAUGCUCCAGACGACGCCUACAUCCUUGACGCAGCCGAGACUGCCGGUGUGGAGUUGCCAUACUCGUGCCGUGCUGGGGCUUGCUCCACCUGUGCCGGCAAAAUCGAGUCUGGUUCGGUUGACCAGUCGGAUGGGUCCUUCCUUG